AGCGAACGCUGGCGGCAGGCUUAACACAUGCAAGUCGAACGGCAGCACAGUAAGAGUUUGCGGUUACGGGGGGCGAGUGGCGGGCGGGUGAGGAAUACAGCGGAAUCUACUUUUUCGUGGGGGAUAACGAAGCGAAACUUACGCUAAUACCGCAUACGAUCUACGGGUGAAAGCAGGGGAGCUUCGGACCUUGCGCGUUUGAAUGAGCCGAUGUCGGAUUAGCUAGUUGGCGGGGUAAUGGGCUAGGAAGGCGACGAUCCGUAGCUGGUCUGAGAGGGUGGUCCGGCAGCCUGGAAGUGAGGCAGAGCCGAGACUCCUGCGCGAAGACGCAGUCGAGAAUCUUGCGCGAUGGGGGCGAGGCUGAUCCUGCCCUACCGCGUCGGUGCUGAAGCCGUCCUGGUUGGAAAGCCCUUUUGUUGGGAGAGAAGAGCAGCUGUUUUAUACGCCGCGGUAAUGACGGUACCGGAAGAAUAAGCACCGGCUAACUUCGUG
This 492-nucleotide ribosomal RNA is filed under the name uncultured bacterium. RNAcentral describes it as "partial 16S ribosomal RNA". It matches the Rfam family "Bacterial small subunit ribosomal RNA", at positions 30 to 507 of the family's 1533-position model. The record is from RNAcentral.